RNAcentral lists this unclassified non-coding RNA (177 nucleotides) under uncultured Pyronemataceae. RNAcentral's name for it is "sequence contains ITS2". Lineage: Eukaryota; Fungi; Ascomycota; Pezizomycetes; Pezizales; Pyronemataceae. The record is from RNAcentral.
AAACACCUCAAGCAUGAAUUUAUUCUUACUUGGUAUUGGUCAAGGAUUGAGCUUGCCUUCUUCCUGUCCGAAAUGCAAUGGCGAAGUCCUGUCUUCCAUUCAGUGUAGUAAUCAACGUUAUGUUUCACUUCUGGACAUGAGAGGCUUUUGCUACAAAUCAAAUUCCCCAAUUCUAAA